RNAcentral lists this long non-coding RNA (10229 nucleotides) under Erythranthe guttata (spotted monkey flower). RNAcentral's name for it is "long non-coding RNA (EGUT_LNC003722)". The record is from RNAcentral. Lineage: Eukaryota; Viridiplantae; Streptophyta; Magnoliopsida; Lamiales; Phrymaceae.
UUCUCCUCAAUACUCCACGUCAUCAGCCCCUGUUUUGCUCUGUUUUCCUCUGUUCUAACAGAACCAAAGAUGCAAUCUCUUACAAAAAAACCUAUGUCCAAACAAAACCAGAGGCCUCCACCUCGUCGAGGGCAAAUCAAGAUUAAUAUACUCAAGUCUUUUGUCAAGUACUCGACUGCCGGAUUCUUGUCAUCGCCCGCCGAUGAUCAAUCGAAACGAAUUCGAGAAAAUGGUAUGAGCUCGAGCUCGAACUCGACAAGCCCGUACGAAACUCCGAGUGGCUACAACUCCGGAGGAUGAUGAUUAUUCAUUUUGGAUUAUUACUUCUAAUUUUCGCCUUUUGAGGCCCUUUUUUAUUUUAUUUGUACAGUUCAUGUUACUAUUGUUACCUUUAUUUUUUUUGAUCUAUUUGUAUUAAUAUGUAAUUUUUUUUUAUAUUGAAAAUUAAUAGUAGCAAAAAAAAACUAUCUUAUAGUGUCCAUUUUGCCCUGUUUUUUCCUCUGUUUUUUCUUCGGUUUAUUGCUAAGGUAAACCAAACAAGUAUCCCAUGCUCACAACUUUGAAUCACAUAAUUGACAUGGAAUCUUAUGGUCAUGCCCGAUUCUAAGAUUUCGGGGGCCCGAGGAGAACUUUGUAGACGUUGUUGAAAUGACAACGAUUUUUUUUUCUUUUUGAAAUAAUAUAACGAUUAACGGGUUAGGUUAAAUUUUAUGGGGGGCACCGAUUUUUUUAAGAGGUAUUGAUGAAGAUUCGAAUUCAAUAAAAGAAAUGGAAAUAUUGAAAAUUUCGACUUUGGAAUGAAAAUAUCGUAACAAAAUCAAUUUUUUUUAGAUUGAAGUCGAAAAAAUCGAAAAUCUAUUGUUUUCCCUAUGAAAUUGAGAAAAAUAUUCAUAAAAAUGUAUCCAGAACUGUUUGCUCAUAUCAAUCUGACUCAUCAUUAGAUUAAAAUAUAACCAGAAAUUGUUCUAUCCCACCAAUACUGGUGGUGGCUUUGAGUAAUUUAAUUCUUGGGAAUAUUGACAUUACCCCCUAAAAAUUUCUUAUUUUUGUAUUUACCUCCUCAUAAUUUUAAAAAGUAAAAGUCCCCCUUCAAAGUGUUAUUCUUGUUGCACAUUGCCCGAUGGCAAUAUUUCGAUGGAUCAUUCAUCGACAUUUGAGUAUUUGUGUUGCACAUUGCCCUUUUAUAUGUUAUUUUUGUUACACGUUACCCCUUAAAAACAUUAUCUUUUUUGCAUUUCCCCUUUAAAAUGUUAUUUUUGCUGCACAAUACCCACCAUAAAUUGUCUUGUGGGGAAAAUUGCAACCAAAAUAAUAUUUUGAAGACAGAUUAUUCAGUUUUUGAAUUUUUAGGAGGGAAAGUGCGAAAUUUGGGAAGGGGUUUUUAUUGAUCAAAAAGAGGAAUCUACUUCAACCGAUAUGCCCUUAGGCACGGCCAUACAUAACAUAGAAAUCACACUUGGAAAGGGUGGACAAUUAGUUAGAGCAGCGGGUGCUGUAGCGAAACUGAUUGCAAAAGAGGGGAAAUCGGCCACAUUAAAAUUACCUUCUGGGGAGGUCCGUUUGAUAUCCAAAAACUGCUCAGCAACAGUCGGACAAGUGGGGAAUGUUGGGGCGAACCAGAAAAGUUUGGGUAGAGCCGGAUCCAAGCGUUGGCUAGGUAAGCGUCCUGUAGUAAGAGGAGUAGUUAUGAACCCUGUAGAUCAUCCCCAUGGGGUGGUGAAGGGAGAGCCCCAAUUGGUAGAAAAAAACCCAAUCUACCCUUGUGUGAUUCCUGUUGAAGCAUAUACUCUGGGGUGGGUGCAGGGCGGACGAUUUUAAAGCAGACUCCCCAUUCAUUACAUUGUUGACAAUGAAACUUACCAAAGCAUUUUUCAACAAACUUUAGCUUGUCCACAAAUACAUCAGGUUAUUCCCUAAAUCUAUGUGAAUAACUCUUUGCUGUUUUUCACCGGGCUCGUGGCAUGAUUUUGACUUCUUAAAUUCAUUAAGGUUAGGUAUACCAAAGAAAAGGAAUAUCGCUAACUUAACCCCCUGAUUGUGAACAAGAUUUGGACAAGGAAAAUUAAAAUUCAUAUGGAAUUUCCCUCCGAAGAUUAAUGACGAAAGGUUGGUUUGUUUAUCAAAAGGAUCGAUUCGACCCCCUUGAAAAAUUUGUAAAGGAUGAAGUGCAUUUUGUCUUCUUAAUUAUUCGUAAGUCAGAUGAUGUUUGGUUAACCUUCUAAGAUGUUAAAGGAACUUAUAAGAGGAUUAGAAGUUUAUAAGUUUUUCCAAAUUGUUUGAUAAUAUUUUUUAAAAAUAUCUUCAUUUUUUUUAAUUAAAUUGUUACAGAGCAAACAAGAUUUUUUUUAAAAAGUAUAUAUACCCCAAUCUUUUUAUUUAGGAUUUUAUAAUGAGUAAAAUAACAAAUAAACUCAUUAUCCAAAUUCCAAACACUUAAAAAUUAGUUCAAAAAGUAAAAUGUAACAACUUAUCAGCUCUUAUAACAUCUUAUCUAACGUAAUAGCUUAUCAGUUGUUUAAAAUAAAUUUAGUCAAACGGGUUCUUAAUCUAAAUGUACCAGUGUUCUUUUCGUUUUCGAACAAACUAAUGAAUCACGACUUUUGUAUAUCUCUUAAUUACACACAAAAUAAAAAUAUUAGGUAAUUGUAAAAGUCAAUAAAUCAAUAUUAGGUAAUUUUAAAAGUCAAUAAAACCACGUAAAGUAAGAUUCAAAUCAGAAUUGUUAGAAUCCAGUGGGAUUCUAUUUCCCCAAAAAACCACUAACUUGGGCACUAAUACAAAAGAAUUUUCUUUUAAUAUUAUUUGUCCUUAAUUAGUUGGUUGGAUAUUUUUAUAUGAAAAUUAGUAUUAUAUUAGGAGUUAAAUAAUAUUUGUGAAUCGGGAAGUUCAAUACUUUGUAUGCAUAAAAGAGAGUCUUAACAAUUCACAGAUCAUAAUCAUACAAGCAUUCACUUGAUUUUGAUUUUAAUCUUGAUUCUACUUAAUCGAUUUUUAGCUUUCCGGUAAGUUUUCGUAGUUCGAUUGAAGUUGUGUUCAAUUGCAUUCACUUGAUAUUGAUUUUAAUCUUGAUCCUACUUAAUCGAUUUUUAGCUUUCCGGUAAGUUUUCGUAGUUCGAUUGAAGUUGUGUUCAAUUGCAUUCACUUGAUAUUGAUUUUAAUCUUGAUCCUACUUAAUCGAUUUUUAGCUUUCCGAUAAGUUUUCGUAGUUCGAUUGAAGUUGUGUUCAAUUGCAUUCACUUGAUAUUGAUUUUAAUCUUGAUCCUACUUAAUCGAUUUUUAGCUUUCCAGUAAGUUUUCGUAGUUCAAAAGUUGUGUUCAAUUGCAUUCACCUGAUUUUGAUUUUAAUCUUGAUUCUAUUUAAUCGAUUUUUAGCUUUCCGGUAAAUUCUGGUAGUUCGAUUGAAGUUGUGUUCGAUUGCAUACACUUGAUUUUGAUUUUAAUGUUGAUUCUGCUUAAUUGAUUUUUAGCUUUCCUGGUAAAUUUUGGUAGUUCGAUUGAAGUUGUGUUCGGUUGCAUACACUUGAUUUUGAUUUUAAUCUUGAUUCUACCUGAUCGAUUUUUAGCUUUCCGGUAAAAUUUUGGUAGUUCGAUUGCAUUCACUUGAUUUUGAUUUGAAUCUUGAUUCUACUUAAAUCGACUUGCUUGUUUAGAUCUCCGUUUGUUUUUCCAUCUUGUAUUAAUUAUUGUGGCGAUCGACAGAAUGGAGAAGAGACAAAAGCUAAUAGCACCGGCCGAAAGACAUCAUAUUCCACACGAAAUUCUAGAAAACAUCCUAUGUCGACUGCCGGCGAAAUCUCUACUAAGGUUCAAAGCAGUUUCGAAAUCAUGGAAAUCGAUAAUCUGCGACGACCCUGGUUUCUCGGACGUUCAUCUCCGACAAUCUAAGAUUUCGGCUUCUUCAUCCAACAAAAACUUAAUGUUUUGGAUCGAAACUUACCCUAACGGUAAUAAAACAAACUUGAUCACAUUACAAGACUUUGAAUCCAUGAAAUCCAGAAAGCGGAAGCAGAUCGAGUUUCCUAUGGAACAAGGAUUGCAUCUCGAGGUGUUGUGUCACUGCGAUGGAUUAGCUCUGAGGCGCACUCGUAAAGCCAAGGACAAGACUUACGUGCUGUGCAAUCCAUCGUCUCGAACAUGGGUACAGUUCAGAUGCCCUUAUCGAAUAUAUCACCGUAGAUAUAGAGCCCGUUUGGCUAAGCUUAUUUAAAACAUCUUAUAAGCUCCUACAUCUGAUAAGAUUUAUAAGAAGCACUACGCGGUUUUUCAUUGUAGGACCAAGGUGUGGAGUAAGAUUAAAUUAGACACCGUAAACGGGUUUUCGUCGCUCGAUGAAGUAAGCAUGGGCCAAGGGGUCAGUUUCGACGGUGGUGAUUUAUAUUUUCUUGUGGAAAUCGAAAGACGUGGUAACCGUCGUGUGGAAAUAGUUUGUUUCGAUUCGACAUGCGACAGAUUGAACAAGUUGCCGUAUCCAGGUUUAGCACGUGAAGUUUACAAUCAAUUAGAGAUGACUUGUUUGGGAGGGUAUUUGUAUUUAUUUAGCAAAAAUGUUUGUCAAAUGAUCAAAGUAACUAGCAGCAGCGGUAGCACAAGCCAAGAAAAGGUAGCAUGGAUUGAAUUUAACGGGCAGCCGCCAUUUUCGGGGAACUCGACUGUUGCUCUAUGUUCGAUCGACCAAGUCGCGACUCGAGUAAACGUACGGUCGUUUACAACUACGAUUGGUCAUGGUCAAAUCCCAUAUCUUGAAAACCUAUUUUUUUCAUCGGUGAUCAAUUAAUUGAUGAAUCUCCUUUUAACUAUUAACUCCAAUUUACUCCCAAAUUUUAAAAUCUUUCUCGCAAAUAUCAAAUGAGGAAUUAAUAACUCAAUUCGUAUGUUUACGAUUGGAGCUGCUCUAAUCUAAUGUGCGAGUUGAUUGGUAUGUACUAAGGUUAUUUAGAUUAGAUAUAUAUUUUUUAUAUUACUAUAUUAGAAAAAGAUGCACUGGACGAUAUUUUAUAUUGAAUAAAUGAAGUAAAUUUUUUUUUUUCCUUCUAAAUAGUAAAUAUCUACCAUGUCUAAAUAUUGCAAAGUAUAUAUUAUACAUAAAAUAUCUAUAUGGACUCGCCACUAUCCUAAAGUACAUUUUAUUUAAAUAAAAAUAAAAUAAUAAAAAAAUGGAACAUUUAUUAAUCACAUGACAAUUGAUUAGUAACGCGUGGCUGAAUUAAUUUCAAAAUCGCGCAGAAAAAUUUCAAAAUUUCAAAAGCUAAAAAAAGUAAAAUAAAAAUAGGGGCUUUAAGAUAUAGGACCCUGAUGACAAAAUUUAUUAGAACUAAAUGACAAGUACAAAUAAACAUUUGUUUCAUAUCCUUUAUAAAAUUCAUUCCAAAAUUGCCCUUUACACACAAAAAAGGAAAGUUGCACCAAGUAAUAUUAAAACAAUAUUUAUCAUUUUUUAUUUUGUAUUUAAUAUUUUCAAUUUUACAUCUACCAACUUAUUACUUUUUUCUUUUACGUAGUACACUUUUUUAUUUUUCCAUUUUCAUAUUUGUUCAUUAUUAUAGAAACCUUAUUUUUUCUGAAUAAAUAUUGAAAAUUAUGAAAAUAAUUUUUUUAAUGUUUUUCGACUGUAGUGUCUAUAGAUACCCAUAGAAAUCCGUAGAAGUCUGUAUUCAUAGAAACUCAUAGUAGUCUGUAGUCAUCCAUAGUUAUUGGUAGUUACACACUUUGAAAACCCUAGCCCCUAUUUGAACUCUAGCCGCCACCGCACAUAAACUCGUAGUAGUCUAUAGUAACUCAUAGUCAUCUCCAUGCUAAACCCUAGAUUUGCUGCCAUCGUCGCCAACACCAUAGCCACCGCCUCCGUUAUUGCCAUAACCACCCCCACCAUAACCCACCACCACUCAUAUAUUUGGACUCAUCUCUUCCCAAACACGUGUGCUUCCGCUUCAGAUCCACCACCGCUAGGGGCGUACCCAUGCCUAUGGCUGGGGUGGCCCCCGCCCCCCCAAGAUUUUUUUUUUAAGUUUUUUUUUUUUUUUGGGUAUUUAUGUAUUAGUUAAUAUACUUUCGCCCCCCAAACUUUUAAUUUUGUACACUUUAGUCCCCAAAGACAAAAAAAAAUUCCUCUCUUAAAUUACCCCUAUAUUUUCGACCCCCAAGAAAACCCCCUGGGUCCGUCCUGACCACCGCCACCAUAGAUCCGACGCACUACCGCUACCCACUCGUCGCCGCUUUCAGAUCCACCGUCACCAUAGAUUCACCGCAGCCGCCACCUUAAGAUUCACUGCCGCCCACUCCGCCGCCGCCACCCAUGUUUGCUUCUCCAAGCAUACGGCAUAACUGAUUUGUGAGCCCAAAUAAAAAACUAGUCCAGAGGAAUAUGGAGAUCGGGAGAGGAAGAGAGAGAAAGAAAGUGAUAGAUAGAGGGGGAGAAAAAAGAGAAAAAAAACAGAGAGAAAUAAAGAGGCAUGGAGAGAAAAAGAGAGAAAAAAUAGAGAGAAAGAGGCGAGAGAGGGAGGGGGAUAGAGAGAAAGAAAAAGUAAAUAACAAAUAGAAAUAAAUUUAUUAAAAGAACUGCGUGAAUAUGUAGAUUAAAAAAAAUAGGUUAUAAGGGCAGUUUAGGGAUAAAAAAAUAAUUAAGAAUGUAUAUCAUACUAGUACUCGUACCCGUGCGAUGCACGGGGAGAUGUUCAUACGGGGUGACAUUCGAAAAUGAGCAAAAUAGUGAUUCAAAACAUGAUCUGGAAAAUGAGUAUAUUUUCUUUUGAAACCAAAAAAAACAAAAACAAAAAUGAGUAUACUUAAAGAAAAUAUUGAGUGCAAACCGCCAAAAAUAAAAGUGGCCUCAAACUACAUAACAAAAAACAUAAAAGUAAACCAUAGAGCUGAAUGUGUAUAAGAAAUUAAAAAUCUAAAUAUAUACGCCUGGACAACUUCAAUAUGUAGUAUAAAUCUUGAAAUCAUUUUCUUGUUUUGCAUAUUCUUUCAUAUUGUACACAAAUAACUUUGAAGUAUAUUCAAAACGAAGGCACAUGAAUAAAAAGAACACUAUUUAUAUAUAGUUCGCCUCCAAUCGAUCCCAAAAACUCUUUCGUAAAUAGCUUUAACUUAUAGUCUAAACGAUAACAUAGGAAUAAGGAAAAACAUAUAAUGCUUGUAUAUUUUUUUUAGUUGGCCUAUUCCCAACCUCAAAAGCCUACAGUAUAACUCCCAACUCCUCCAAGACAAAGAUUAAACCAAUCACCACAACAAAUGAGGAAAUAUAUAUUUUUUAAUUGUGUUUGAAUUCAAAGAAUUGAUUAUCAUCCACUUGAUGAAAUUUGAGCAUAAUGAAAAAGUAGAUUUUGUAGGUUAUAUGCUAUCCUUAUUCUUCUUUUCCCCGACUGCUAUCCUUGGGAAGCUUCUUCUCCGCCUUAGCUAACAAAAUACGCCACCCUCUCUAUUGCCGUUCUCAACUGAAAAGUUCAUUCAUAUACAUAACUACAUGCUAAUUUUUUUUUUGGUUAAUAGAAAAGCGAAAGCACAUACAAAAAAUAAAUUAAAAAAUUAAAAAAAUAGUAAUAACAACAAUAAUAAUAAUAAUAAUAAUAAUAAUAAUAAUAAUAAUAAUAAUAAUAAUAAUAAUAAUAAUAAUAAUAAUAAUAAUAAUAAUAAUAAUAAUAAUAAUAAUAAUAAUAAAUUUCUACCAAAGAACUAUUCAUAAAUAAAAACAUGAAAUUGAAAAAGAAACAAAAUAAAUACACGAACAACAUGGGUUAAAAGAAGUCACCAAUAUCGUCACAUUCCAAGAAAGACAUUGUUUUUCUAUGAAAGAAACAAACUGAGUUUUAUUUAGCAAGUGAUCAGUUUGCAGCUCUAUUGCCUUCACUAUAUCCAUUACCAAAGCUUCUCCUGCAAAUCUGCAAAGCGAAAUCCAAGUGAAUUAUGCAUAGUUCGCCUUGAAACAUUCGGGGAAAAAAAAAAGAACGUUGAAAGUGGAAAUUAAUUCACGAAUUACCAGUGAGAGAGAGAUGGGGUUCACAAUAUUAAUUAUUUUUAGAUUUUAUGAACCCUAAUUUUAUGUGCUAGUAUGAAGUUCUGAGAUGGAAGUAAGAGAGAUGUUAUAGUUCUACAAAUGGAGGUUUCCACCACGUCCGUCUCCAUCUUCCACCAUGAGAGAAAAUAGGAGCAGUUAUUUAAGAAAAGAAAAGCUGGAAACACAUUUUAUGUUUCAUGUUUCAAUAAUUUAACAUUUUUUGUCAUUUUUUCAUCAAUUUUACGGGAAGUCGGGAACACUCUUGAUUCCGUUAGUACUAACGAAAAAAUGACGAAAAUAACUAAAAAUAUUGAAUUUUUGAAAUAUUUGGGACCAAAUGUAUUCUUUUGUGAAUAUGUGGACCAAAUAUGAAAUAAUUGUAAAUUUGAGGGAUGAAACUGUAAUUUUCCCCAAUAAAGCUGAUUACUAAUCCUCCAUAUACACAUUUAUUUAAAAAAAUACUUAUUAUUAUAUUUGGGAUGAUCCAACAUAAAUAAGGCCUUUUGGGAUUUAAAAGUCACAGAGAAAAAGAAAGUAAUAGAAAAAUUGGCCAUGAUUGAGAAAAAGUAUGCAGUAUGCUAAUUAAGCAAGAAUUUCUUGUCAAAAAGAAAAAGAGAAAUAAAAGUAAUCAAGAAUUUAUUUGGUAUAUUCCAUUCUACAACGUUCUAGAAUGUAGUCAUAUCACGUUUUUAUAUGGACAUCUGUGCUUUAACCUUUCAUAAUAAAUUAUUGUUGAUUAAUUCACGUGAUGGUAUUGUUCUUGAUUCUAAUUAGGUCAAUCUUUGGAAAGCCUCCGUGAUUUGCACAAUUAUAAUAAGGGUAAAUUACAACCACCCCUGAGAUAAAGUUAAAUUACGAACUCCCCUCAUGUUUAGGUAAUUACAGUUACCUUUUCUUAACUAUGACUCUUUUUACACGUCCAUCCUUAUGGUGUCAUAUUCAAUAUAAUCUUCUAGAUUUCGUGGAAUGUUCUCUAGUUUGUACUCGUUUUGUGCAAAAAUGCAGUUUCUGAUGUACCACAAUAUGAUAUAUACAAGUCAAAAAACACAUCUAUUGAUCAUCUUGCUUCAAAAUGUGGAACUCGAAUGAGAUGAAACGGGUACAAACUUGAAAUAUUCCAUAAACUGUAGGAGAUCCCACUAAAUUUGAUACCGCAAUGGUGAACGUGUAAGAAAAUUCAUAGUUAAAUGAGUGUCUGUAAUUACCAAAACAUAAGGGGUUUUCGUAAUUUAACCUUACCUCAGGGGUAGCCGUAAUAUACCCUAAAAAACAAUACAUAAAAAAUAAAUAAAACAAAUGUUAGCGAGCCAACUCAUGAGUUCACGAACAACUAAAAAAUAGCUCCAGCUCAAAAAACUCGUGUUAGAGCUUUUUUCGAGCACAAACCCUACCCCACACUCCCACUUGGCCCCAAAAAACUGCAAAAUGAAAUCAAGAAUUGAGUUUGAAGCAUACAAGUCCCUAUACUGACUGGUCAGAAAAUUGUUUUCUUGAAUAGAAACUGGCCCCACUUUUCACCCAAUCUUGGAGGCCAAGUUUCUUGAAUUUUACUGAUUAGUCCCUACUACCACAUUGGAUAAAUUAAAUAAAUUCCCAACACACUUACUCUUCUCCUCAAUACUCCAGUUCAUCAAACCCCCAUGUUUUCCUCUGUUCUAACAGAACCAAAGAUGCAAUCUAUUACAAUAAAACUUAUGUCCAAACAAAACCAGAUGCCUCCACCUCGUCGAGGACAAAUCAAGAUUAAUAUACUCAAGUCUUUGGUCAAAUCGACUGCCGGAUUCUUGUCACUGCCCACCGAUGAUCAAUCGAAACAAAUUCGAGAAAAUAGAAUGAGCUCGAGCUCGAACUCGACAAGCCCGUACGAAACUCCGAGUGGCUACAACUCCGGAGGAUGAUGAUUAUUCAUUUUGGAUUAUUACUUCUAAUUUUCGCCUUUCGAGGCCCUUUUUUAUUUUAUUUGUACAGUUCAUGUUACUAUUUUUAUCUUUAUUUUUGUUGAUCUAUUUGUAUUAAUAUGUAAUUUUUUUAUUUUAUAUUGAAAAGUAAUAGUAGCAAAAAAAAACUAUCUUAUAGUGUCCAUUUUGCCCUGGUUUUUCCUCUGUUUUUUCUUCGGUUUAUUGCUAAAGUAAACCAAACAAGUAUCCCAUGUUCACAACUUGGAAUCACUUGAUCGACGUGGAAUCUUAUGGCUAGGCCCGUUUCUAAGAUUUCGGGGGCCCGAGGCGAACUC